CUAAUGUGUAGAGCCAUGAAAAUGUUCAACAUGAGCAUAGGAACAAGAGGGAGGAAGACUCCUUUGUGGGAAACGAUCAAUGCUCCACAACAACCUGAUGGAGCACAAUGUGGAUUCUAUGUUAUGCGAUUCAUGAGAGAUGUCUUUGACAAUCUUGUAUCCGAUCACUCUCUCCCAUUAGCUACGUUGUUCACAGGAGGAUGUUAUUCCAAAAAAGAGAUUGAUGAAAUGAGGAUAGAGUGGGCAGAGUUUCUAAGUUCGAUUGAUGAUUGAUGAUGAUGGUGUAACUUUGACACUCAAGUAACCUCAUUUUUGACUUACAUGUAUUAUGAUCAACAAUAUUUUUUUGGAUUUGAUGUAGGAUGUUUGUAUGAUGGAUACUUUUUCAAUGUAGGAUGAUAAUUAACUUUGAAACUAAUGAAUGACCUUUUUAUUA
Long non-coding RNA from Salvia miltiorrhiza (redroot sage), 436 nucleotides. RefSeq lists it as uncharacterized. The record is from RefSeq and is a predicted model, not a curated record. Lineage: Eukaryota; Viridiplantae; Streptophyta; Magnoliopsida; Lamiales; Lamiaceae. The transcript has 4 exons.